This 492-nucleotide ribosomal RNA is filed under the name uncultured bacterium. RNAcentral describes it as "partial 16S ribosomal RNA". It matches the Rfam family "Bacterial small subunit ribosomal RNA", at positions 29 to 507 of the family's 1533-position model. The record is from RNAcentral.
AGUGAACGCUGGCGGUAGGCCUAACACAUGCAAGUCGAACGGCAGCACAGUAAGAGCUUGCUCUUACGGGUGGCGAGUGGCGGACGGGUGAGGAAUACAUCGGAAUCUACUUUUUCGUGGGGGAUAACGUAGGGAAACUUACGCUAAUACCGCAUACGACCUACGGGUGAAAGCAGGGGAUCUUCGGACCUUGCGCGAUUGAAUGAGCCGAUGUCGGAUUAGCUAGUUGGCGGGGUAAAGGCCCACCAAGGCGACGAUCCGUAGCUGGUCUGAGAGGAUGAUCAGCCACACUGGAACUGAGACACGGUCCAGACUCCUACGGGAGGCAGCAGUGGGGAAUAUUGGACAAUGGGCGCAAGCCUGAUCCAGCCAUACCGCGUGGGUGAAGAAGGCCUUCGGGUUGUAAAGCCCUUUUAUUGGGAAAGAAAAGCAGCAGGUUAAUACCCCGCUGUUCUGACGGUACCCAAAUAAUAAGCACCGGCUAACUUCGUG